GAUGAACGCUGACAGAAUGCUUAACACAUGCAGUCACUGAUUGUGACGGACGGGUGAGUAACGAGUAAAGACCUUACCUCACAGUUAGGGACAACAAUUGGAAACGACUGCUAAUACCAAAUACUGUGAGAGAGCUUUGCGUCCCAUUAGCUAGUUGGAGAGGUAACGGCUCACCAAGGCGAUGAUGGGUAGCCGGCCUGAGAGGGUGAUCGGCCACAAGGGGAUUGGGACACGGCCCUUACUCCUACGUGAGGCAUCAGUGGGGAAUAUUGAACAAUGUACCACAGUCUGAUCCAGCAAUUCUGUGUGUACGAUGAAGUUUUCGGAAUGUAAAGUGCUUUCAGUUGGGAAUCGGUACCAACAGAAGAAGUGACGGCUAAAUACGUGCCAGCAGCCGCGGUAAUUC
This 406-nucleotide ribosomal RNA is filed under the name uncultured bacterium. Its description in RNAcentral is "partial 16S ribosomal RNA". It matches the Rfam family "Bacterial small subunit ribosomal RNA", at positions 28 to 526 of the family's 1533-position model. The record is from RNAcentral.